UUAACCUAUGCUAUAGUGGGAAACUGAAGGAAAUUGAACCGCGUGAACUUUAGGAAAUUGAAACAAACCCCCCCUUCUUUCUUUCCCCAAUUCAUAACCCUAGCCCCCAUUGUCGCCGCAGUCGGAAGCUUGUUGGCGCCGCCGCCGUCCCAAGCUCUAAGGACAUCGUCUUUAUCUUCCUUGGCUUCUCCGUUCGUCGAAGGUUAGUGGCGUGGCGCCCGCUCUUGGGGUACUGCGCUCGUUAAGAUCUCUCCUUACACCUUCUCCGCCGUCGCCAUCGGCGUCUCCAUCGGUGUCUCAGUUCUCAUUGCUGCUUGGGGGAAUUACGUGCUGCAAUCAAGGCUCCCCGAAUCACUUCCACGAAUCUCAUUAGGUUAUUUCUGAGAAAAAUCGUGAAAAUAGAUCCAAACAAAAAUGGAAUCAUCGAAUGGGACCAGUUAGUUUUGAAUUAGUACGCGCUGAAUUGCGUGCAAAAAAAGAGGGCAAUGAAGAUCCAUCACAGUCUGAGAUGUUUGUUGUAACUCGUACUAACAAGAAAGGAGAAACUGACUCGGGAACACAAGAGACGAUUGAACAUCUUCAAAAUUUGAA
This is a non-coding RNA of Arachis ipaensis, 591 nucleotides long. Lineage: Eukaryota; Viridiplantae; Streptophyta; Magnoliopsida; Fabales; Fabaceae. The record is from RefSeq and is a predicted model, not a curated record.